AGUGAACGCUGGCGGUAGGCCUAACACAUGCAAGUCGAACGGCAGCACAGGAGAGCUUGCUCUCUGGGUAGCGAGUGGCGGACGGGUGAGGAAUACAUCGGAAUCUACUUUGUCGUGGGGGAUAACGCAGGGAAACUUGCGCUAAUACCGCAUACGACCUACGGGUGAAAGCAGGGGAUCUUCGGACCUUGCGCGAUUGAAUGAGCCGAUGUCGGAUUAGCUAGUUGGCGGGGUAAAGGCCCACCAAGGCGACGAUCCGUAGCUGGUCUGAGAGGAUGAUCAGCCACACUGGAACUGAGACACGGUCCAGACUCCCACGGGAGGCAGCAGUGGGGAAUAUUGGACAAUGGGCGCAAGCCUGAUCCAGCCAUACCGCGUGGGUGAAGAAGGCCUUCGGGUUGUAAAGCCCUUUUGUUGGGAAAGAAAAGCAGCCGGUUAAUACCCGGUUGUUCUGACGGUACCCAAAGAAUAAGCACCGGCUAACUUCGUGCCAGCCGCCGCAGUAA
Molecule: ribosomal RNA, 506 nt
Filed under: uncultured bacterium
Lineage: Bacteria
Description: partial 16S ribosomal RNA
Rfam family: Bacterial small subunit ribosomal RNA
Source: RNAcentral